CAAGGUGUCAGUGAGGCGUGGCUUCCUGUGUAUGAGAAGAGUAACUGUUUCUUACUGUGCGGAGGUGAUUAUUGUGCAGAGACAAGCAGCAGAAACAAGAAGAAUUAGCAAAGACAGAAAGCUUUGGAUCAGAGAAUCUGCAGAAAGAAAGAAAAGAGGGAGGGGAGGAUUCUGAGAGAGCUCGGUAUUAAUUAUUUGGAAGAAGGAAACUACACUAAAGCCAUAGAGUUGAUCAGUGAACCCAUCAGAUUAGAUCCCAAGGAUUACAGAUAUUUUGGGAAAAGUUCAUACUGCUAUGAGCUGUUAACACUUUAUCCUAAGAUGCUCAUGGACGCUGAAGUUUCCAUUCCAUCCAAUUAUCCUCUGAUUACCCUAAAGGCUAUUUCAGAAAAGGAAGAGCUUUGGCGAGGCUGCAGUGUAAGAUCCCUCUCUCUAUCAAUUCUGCUUUCACGGUAGUACAAGUCACUAAGGGAUUCAAAAAAGACUUGGGCUUCAUUUGAUUGUUGUAUGGUUCUCCCAAGAAAAUAGAGAGAAAAACAAUGGUCCUAACAGCUAUAUCAGUAUCUUUAUUAUCAGAGCCCUAAAUGUCUACAAUGGAUGACUUUGUCCCUGCACACUCUUAAACAAAAGGAAAAUAAAAACACCCUUGCAAAGAA
Xenopus laevis (African clawed frog) is the source of this 656-nucleotide long non-coding RNA. RefSeq lists it as uncharacterized. The transcript is spliced from 3 exons. The record is from RefSeq and is a predicted model, not a curated record. NCBI's taxonomy places the organism in Eukaryota, Metazoa, Chordata, Amphibia, Anura, Pipidae.